RNAcentral lists this ribosomal RNA (512 nucleotides) under uncultured bacterium. RNAcentral's name for it is "partial 16S ribosomal RNA". It matches the Rfam family "Bacterial small subunit ribosomal RNA", at positions 28 to 507 of the family's 1533-position model. The record is from RNAcentral.
GAUGAACGCUGGCGGCGUGCCUAAUACAUGCAAGUCGAACGAAACUUCUUUAUCACCGAGUGCUUGCACUCACCGAUAAAGAGUUGAGUGGCGAACGGGUGAGUAACACGUGGGCAACCUGCCCAAAAGAGGGGGAUAACACUUGGAAACAGGUGCUAAUACCGCAUAACCAUAGUUACCGCAUGGUAACUAUGUAAAAGGUGGCUAUACUACCGCUUUUGGAUGGGCCCGCGGCGCAUUAGCUAGUUGGUAGGGUAAAGGCUUACCAAGGCAAUGAUGCGUAGCCGAAUUGAGAGGUUGAUCGGCCACAUUGGGACUGAGACACGGCCCAAACUCCUACGGGAGGCAGCAGUAGGGAAUCUUCCACAAUGGGCGAAAGCCUGAUGGAGCAACGCCGCGUGGGUGAAGAAGGUCUUCGGAUCGUAAAACCCUGUUGUUAGAGAAGAAAGUGCGUGAGAGUAUCUGUUCACGUUUCGACGGUAUCUAACCAGAAAGCCACUGCUAACUACGUG